Long non-coding RNA from Ornithorhynchus anatinus (platypus), 1700 nucleotides. RefSeq lists it as uncharacterized. NCBI's taxonomy places the organism in Eukaryota, Metazoa, Chordata, Mammalia, Monotremata, Ornithorhynchidae. The transcript has 15 exons. The record is from RefSeq and is a predicted model, not a curated record.
GCUCCUAUCUACUUUCACCAGGGGUGUGUAAAGUGUGGCUACUAUGGGCCACAAAGAUUCCAGCAAGACCCUGGGGGAGGUGGAGGGGUUUUUGCAGGGUCAAAGGAGGGGUGACUUUUAGUCAUCUUCUCCAGGCCGUACUGGAAGCCGUGGCCAGGCAACGUGUGGAGCUGGGCCCACCUACCCUAGCCUGAGAGAGGGGAGAACUUCACAGCCUGAGCAUUUUCCAGCGGCUUCCAGAUAGAUCCAAGAAUGCAGUCUGGGCUCCGAGCCAGAGGCUGGUAUUUGACAGCGGCGACCGCCUUCCAGACGGGCUGUGGGAAAAGGGGAAUCCAGCGUCCGUCUCGCAGGAUGCCACGACGAUGGCAGAGCGGCCGGGCUGAAGGAGCCGGGCUUCAAGAGACAAGAGGGAGACUGGUCCGGUUCAGCUGCUGCCCAGGCGGACGGGAAACCAGAAGAACCAGCAGCCAAUUGGCCGUGCCACAAGGCUCGAGACCAGCUUUCUCCUCCCAACCAAUCGGCGGCGUUAUCGGUCUCCAGGGAUUCCUAGCGCUCUAGAGCCGGUCAAACAGAAUUUCCCGUUCCCUCAGCAUCCGCCGCCCAAAAGACAUUUGGCUGUCGUCUCUCUUGGCAGAAAGACCGGACCUGCUGGUGUCAGGAAUGAGAGACCAGCCCCGGCCUCGACAUGCAAUCUACUCUCUGGUCGUCUUCCCAGAAGAACCUAAGAUCCUGACUCUGAGAGCCAAGGAGGAAAAAGAACCCUGACAUGAAUAUGGAAAGGAAAGGAACCGAUUCAAAGCGGAAAUCCCUUCAGGGAAACAGCAGUGCGGUGAGGCAUGAAGAGGAUGCAGGACCUUUGAAGAAGCCAAUCAGAUAAUGAUUCUGGAGAAAAUAAUGAAUAACGGAAAAAAUGAAAUCCACAUGCUAGAUUUGUGAUUCUGCAGCCUCCACUGAAAAACCGAAUUCUGCUAGUCUUCAAGAAUUGCUUGUCAGCCUGCGAGAACCAACGAGGCCACCAGCCUGGUCCAUUCCACCAGUCCCGGGGCCAAAUAUCGAAGCACCUGAGAGAUUUAAUUUGCUGAGAAAUGAAAAGGAAUAAUAAACACGGGGCAUAUACGUCAACUUGAAAGGCCAGCACAACCUCUCCCAUAGGCUGGCUGGGAAUUUGUAGCAGUGAGAACCUCACAUCUCUUGGCCGACUAGAGGAACUCACAAUCCAUCGGGGAAGGCUGACACCCAAACUUUAGGCAGCAGAGGGAGGAGAGAAUGGAAAAAUCGAUACGCACGUGACUGAAUACUUCACUGAUGGCCGCUCUUUUGGGAACCUGAGACAGAGUCCAAUCCCAACUCUCAGACUCUUCUGCCCGCCUGUCUUACGGAGCACCAAUUUUUGACUGGAAGGAGCAUAUGCCGGCUGGAGGACAAGAAAGAGAGUACCUCAGAUCAAUACAAGUCCCGAAAAGAGAUCCUCCGUGUGCACUCAACUGUCAAGACGGCGCAGAUGGAAACUUGCAAGAGACGGGGGAACCGAGGUCCACGGAAGUCGCCAGUCUGCGGUGGCUAGGGAAGAAAGAAUUAUCGUUGACGUCGUAAGCUCGGUUUGGGCAAGUGACGUGUCUGCUGAUUCUGCUGUAUCGCACUCUCCCCAGCGCUUUGUCCAAUCCUCUGCACGUUGUAAGCGCUCGGUAAAUCCCACCGAU